CGAAUGCUGACAUAAGUAACGAUAAAGCGGGUGAAAAGCCCGCUCGCCGGAAGACCAAGGGUUCCUGUCCAACGUUAAUCGGGGCAGGGUGAGUCGACCCCUAAGGCGAGGCCGAAAGGCGUAGUCGAUGGGAAACAGGUUAAUAUUCCUGUACUUGGUGUUACUGCGAAGGGGGGACGGAGAAGGCUAUGUUGGCCGGGCGACGGUUGUCCCGGUUUAAGCGUGUAGGCUGGU
RNAcentral lists this ribosomal RNA (234 nucleotides) under Escherichia coli. Its description in RNAcentral is "partial 23S ribosomal RNA". It matches the Rfam family "Bacterial large subunit ribosomal RNA", at positions 1291 to 1529 of the family's 2925-position model. Lineage: Bacteria; Pseudomonadati; Pseudomonadota; Gammaproteobacteria; Enterobacterales; Enterobacteriaceae. The record is from RNAcentral.